This 807-nucleotide ribosomal RNA is filed under the name uncultured euryarchaeote. Its description in RNAcentral is "bacterial SSU rRNA". It matches the Rfam family "Archaeal small subunit ribosomal RNA", at positions 52 to 859 of the family's 1478-position model. Lineage: Archaea; Methanobacteriati; Methanobacteriota. The record is from RNAcentral.
UGCUAGUUGCACGAGUUUAGACUCGUAGCAGAUAGCUCAGUAACACGUGGCCAAACUACCCUAUGGAUCCGGACAACCUCGGGAAACUGAGGCUAAUCCGGAAUACGGCUCUCAGCCUGGAAGUGGCGAGAGUCAGAAACGCUCCGGCGCCAUAGGAUGUGGCUGCGGCCGAUUAGGUAGACGGUGGGGUAACGGCCCACCGUGCCCAUAAUCGGUACGGGUUGUGAGAGCAAGAGCCCGGAGACGGUAUCUGAGACAAGAUACCGGGCCCUACGGGGCGCAGCAGGCGCGAAACCUUUACACUGCACGAAAGUGCGAUAAGGGGACUCCAAGUGCGAGGGCAUAUAGUCCUCGCUUUUCACCACCGUAAGGAGGUGGUAGAAUAAGUGCUGGGCAAGACCGGUGCCAGCCGCCGCGGUAAUACCGGCAGCACGAGUGAUGACCGCUCUUAUUGGGCCUAAAGCGUCCGUAGCUGGCCACGCAAGUCUAUCGGGAAAUCCGCGCGCUCAACGCGCGGGCGUCCGGUGGAAACUGCGUGGCUUGGGACCGGAAGAUCCAGAGGGUACGUCCGGGGUAGGAGUGAAAUCCCGUAAUCCUGGACGGACCACCGGUGGCGAAAGCGCUCUGGAAAGACGGAUCCGACGGUGAGGGACGAAAGCUCGGGUCACGAACCGGAUUAGAUACCCGGGUAGUCCGAGCUGUAAACGAUGUCUGCUAGGUGUGCCACAGGCUACGAGCCUGUGGUGUGCCGUAGGGAAGCCGUGAAGCAGACCGCCUGGGAAGUACGUCCGCAAGGAUGAAACUUAA